This 374-nucleotide long non-coding RNA is filed under the name Lepeophtheirus salmonis (salmon louse). Its description in RNAcentral is "uncharacterized LOC121118752". Lineage: Eukaryota; Metazoa; Arthropoda; Copepoda; Siphonostomatoida; Caligidae. The record is from RNAcentral.
UGCAAAAAAAGGGAAACAAAAAAUAUGUCUUAAUAUUAAUAUAUAAGAAAAAUCAAAAACACCAACGGGACCGAUGGUGCAUCAUCAGUGACAAUCAUUUAAUUAAUAGGUUUUAUACGGGUCAAGUGUUAUUGUGCUAUUGUAUCAAGUCGAAAUCAAAUCAUCGGAGGCAAUCUCUUGGAGCUCCUUCGUCGCCGCCGUCACAAAUCCUUUGUUUAUAUUCAUUUUCUUCGCCAUCGCUGCAACUACCAUCAUAUGGAUUUUUACAAUGCGUUUAUCAGCUAAAGCAUACCUCUCAAUAUCUACUAUUAGCCCAUACUUAAUUUGAGAUUCUGAUAGUUUUUUCCCAAUAAAUGAUUCUACGCUCUACUUAA